UGGGGAAUAUUGGACAAUGGGCGCAAGCCUGAUCCAGCAAUGCCGCGUGUGUGAAGAAGGCCUUCGGGUUGUAAAGCACUUUUAUCAGGAGCGAAAUACUACCGAUUAAUACUCGGUGGGGCUGACGGUACCUGAGGAAUAAGCACCGGCUAACUUCGUGCCAGCAGCCGCGGUAAUACGAAGGGUGCAAGCGUUAAUCGGAAUUACUGGGCGUAAAGGGUGCGUAGGCGGUUAUUUAAGUCUGCCGUGAAAUCCCCGGGCUCAACCUGGGAAUGGCGGUGGAUACUGGAUGGCUAGAGUGUGUCAGAGGAUGGUGGAAUUCCCGGUGUAGAGGUGAAAGGCGUAGAGAUCGGGAGGAACAUCAGUGGCGAAGGCGAGUCCCUGGACGACUCCUGACACUGAGGCACGAAAGCUAG
RNAcentral lists this ribosomal RNA (416 nucleotides) under uncultured bacterium. Its description in RNAcentral is "bacterial SSU rRNA". It matches the Rfam family "Bacterial small subunit ribosomal RNA", at positions 355 to 763 of the family's 1533-position model. The record is from RNAcentral.